GGGAGCUGCUGCGUGUUACACGCGGUUGUGUGUCAUUCUAGGUGACAGACGGAGCGGCUACCGGAGGGGACGGGGGAUCUCUGAGGAGAGCCCAUCCCGCCAGAAGGGAGAGUAAUGGCAUUCCCCCGGCCACGGAAGAAGGAUGUGUGUGACCAAGGAAUCCAUGGCAAGAAGAGCCCAACAGACAUGAAGCAUCCCAGUAAUGCAGAGAGUAUAGUUACAUACCAAGGACCAGAUACCUGUGCCUUAAACAAAGCUCCCCAACGUACUGUACAGUCUUUAUUUGUGUUUGAGAUUAAUUGACCACUGCAGAAUGCAUCCUUGGGCUUUCUGAAAUAUAUGAAAUGACACAGGGUGAAGUGAUGAGAAGUUAUCCUGAGAGAGGGGAGUGAUAUUGUAAAACCCGUCUGGAAGAUAGCUGCAAUACUGCUGGCUCCUGGCUUUGGCUGUGUAUGCUACACAAAUACAAACUGCAUUUACACUUGAUUAAAGGUAAUGUAAUAAAAAAAAUCCCCAACUUUUUCUGGGUGUAUGUUUGCAUGUGGACCAGCGCUGUAAACAAAACGUACUAAACACUUGAAACAGCAGCAGUAGCUACAUUUUU
Long non-coding RNA from Aquila chrysaetos chrysaetos, 604 nucleotides. NCBI's taxonomy places the organism in Eukaryota, Metazoa, Chordata, Aves, Accipitriformes, Accipitridae. The record is from Ensembl.